This 484-nucleotide ribosomal RNA is filed under the name uncultured bacterium. RNAcentral describes it as "partial 16S ribosomal RNA". It matches the Rfam family "Bacterial small subunit ribosomal RNA", at positions 30 to 507 of the family's 1533-position model. The record is from RNAcentral.
AUUGAACGCUGGCGGCAGGCCUAACACAUGCAAGUCGAGCGGAUGAAGGGAGCUUGCUCCUGGAUUCAGCGGCGGACGGGUGAGUAAUGCCUAGGAAUCUGCCUGGUAGUGGGGGAUAACGUCCGGAAACGGGCGCUAAUACCGCAUACGUCCUGAGGGAGAAAGUGGGGGAUCUUCGGACCUCACGCUAUCAGAUGAGCCUAGGUCGGAUUAGCUAGUUGGUGGGGUAAAGGCCUACCAAGGCGACGAUCCGUAACUGGUCUGAGAGGAUGAUCAGUCACACUGGAACUGAGACACGGUCCAGACUCCUACGGGAGGCAGCAGUGGGGAAUAUUGGACAAUGGGCGAGAGCCUGAUACAGCCAUGCCGCGUGUGUGAAGAAGGUCUUCGGAUUGUAAAGCACUUUAAGUUGGGAGGAAGGGCAGUAAGUUAAUACCUUGCUGUUUUGACGUUACCAACAGAAUAAGCACCGGCUAACUACGUG